RNAcentral lists this ribosomal RNA (824 nucleotides) under uncultured bacterium. RNAcentral's name for it is "bacterial SSU rRNA". It matches the Rfam family "Bacterial small subunit ribosomal RNA", at positions 8 to 796 of the family's 1533-position model. The record is from RNAcentral.
AGAGUUUGAUCCUGGCUCAGGACGAACGCUGGCGGCGUGCCUAAUACAUGCAAGUCGAGCGCGGGAAGCAAACAGAUCUCCUUCGGGAGUGACGUUUGUGGAACGAGCGGCGGAUGGGUGAGUAUCACGUGGGCAACCUGCCUGUAAGAUCGGGAUAACUCGCGGAAACGUGAGCUAAUACCGGAUGAAGUCUUACGCCACCUGGCGUAAGGAUGAAAGAUGGCCUUUGUGCUAUCACUUACAGAUGGGCCCGCGGCGCAUUAGCUAGUUGGUAGGGUAAUGGCCUACCAAGGCGACGAUGCGUAGCCGACCUGAGAGGGUGAUCGGCCACACUGGGACUGAGACACGGCCCAGACUCCUACGGGAGGCAGCAGUAGGGAAUCUUCCGCAAUGGACGAAAGUCUGACGGAGCAGCGCCGCGUGAGUGAUGAAGGUCUUCGGAUCGUAAAACUCUGUUGUCAGGGAAGAACAAGUGACGUUCGAAUAGGGCGUGACCUUGACGGUACCUGACCAGAAAGCCCCGGCUAACUACGUGCCAGCAGCCGCGGUAAUACGUAGGGGGCAAGCGUUGUCCGGAAUUAUUGGGCGUAAAGCGCGCGCAGGCGGUCCUUUAAGUCUGAUGUGAAAGCCCACGGCUUAACCGUGGAGGGUCAUUGGAAACUGAGGGACUUGAGUACAGAAGAGGAGAGUGGAAUUCCACGUGUAGCGGUGAAAUGCGUAGAGAUGUGGAGGAACACCAGUGGCGAAGGCGACUCUCUGGUCUGUAACUGACGCUGAGGUGCGAAAGCGUGGGUAGCAAACAGGAUUAGAUACCCUGGUAGUCC